RNAcentral lists this long non-coding RNA (2214 nucleotides) under Ovis aries (sheep). RNAcentral describes it as "lncRNA (ENSOARG00000025360.1)". Lineage: Eukaryota; Metazoa; Chordata; Mammalia; Artiodactyla; Bovidae. The record is from RNAcentral.
AGUCAGGAGGAAAUAUAUCCAAACCUGGAGAAUAAGAAAUAUCCUUAUAGAAAUGGGCCUGGUGGUUGGGUCUAGACAAAUAAGUUGGGCACUGGCUUGUGACUGUUAGAGAAGGGGAGGGCAAGUAAUAGUGAGUUCUGAGAACACUGUUCAGGAAAUUGUGAAGCAUGUGAUGAAAACAAUGAGUUAUUCAGUGUGACUGUACUGCAGAGUACAAGAAAGAAUAAGUGGGCAUCAAGGUGGCAGAUGAAGGUUAAGGCUAGCUUCAGAAUUCACUGUGAGAACCCAAAACAGGAAGGGCACAUAAGGUGGAUGAAGAGGGGAAAUGAAUCCUCAUAGCAAGGCUCAAGUUUCUCUGUACUGACCCUGAGCUCUCAUGUAGCCUGUCCUUAUCCCUUCUGGUAAUAGAACAGUCCAAAUGAAUUUUUCUCUUCAUUCAGUUGUACCUUACUUGUACAAGGCACAUUCCGUUUCUAGGGAAAGACUUCACCAUGGCAACAGGCAAGCAUGGUCUGGUACCACAGUAAAGUGCUUCUUUCUGGCUCAAAAGAACAGGAUCUCUGCUAGGUGGCUACCAUCAAGAUCUGAAUUUCUUCCUGGGUCAGUUGGAACAGGUUGCCUUCAGGAUAAGAAGCUAACAACCAAGGUGGGGAAUUGGUGAUUAUUGCCGCAUCACAGCACAUCCCAGUCUGUAGGAAGAGGGUGAUGCAGUCUUGCCAGACUUCUUCACUGAUAUCCCCUAUGCACUGCAUGAUUCAGGUAAGCUGUCUCUAAAUGAUGAAUAAAGUGAUUUCUGGCAAGUAGGUCUUCAAAAGAAGUUUGUUGGUAGUUGGCUCAAGAUGAGACUGAAAUAAGCUAAAAAUAUAGUCUGUUUCUGAUGGCCUCUCCCCAGCAGCACAGUGGAGGAGGUCUUGAUGACUUGUGUGAAGUUAUGCCCCAGCUGCCCUCUGUUGCGACUUAUCAAGCUAUCUUUGGAGCAGGAGUGAGGUCACAAAGGCUUUGUGACUUGUUAAACAGUCAUAAUUCACCACAUCAUGGGUGACCUUUGGCAGUAGCUUUCAGUGGUUGUAUCUCCAGCUAGUGAGAUAUUGGGACAAAGCACAUCUACUUACUUCCCUAGGAUACCAUGGGAGAAACACCAACCCCCAACAUCAGAAAAUCCCUCAAUGUAGAAUAUAACUGAGUAAUAUUUGAGUUGGAGGUUUGGAUAUAAAGCAGGACAAGUGAGAUUUAGUGCAGCAACUAGUAUGCAGAUGUUGGCUAAUCUGAGACCUGAGCUCUAGGUACAAAGUAAAAAAAACCCCACGGCCCCACUGGCUUACACCUCUUUUUGGAUGGACAUAAUAGCGUCCUAAUGAUUUUCUGUCUUCAGAUUUUUUCCAUCUAGUUGUUUAUCCUCUGGCCCACACCAGCUGUGAGUCUAGAGUAAUUCGUUUUCAUCUAGUCAUUCAGCAAGCAUUUAUCAAGCAGUUACUAUCUGCCAAGUACUUUUCCAAGCACUGGUUUAUAGCAGUGAACAGAGAAAAAUCUCACAGAGCUGACAUCAUAAUGGUAGAAGACAAAAAAAUAAUAAAUGAUAAUAGAAUCCCUUUCACAGAAUUUUUUUAUGAAUCUAAUACUUUUUCUUUCCACAUAUUCCUUCUUAGUCCCAGGUGCUAUCUACCUCUGUGGGGGUCCAAUCUGACAUGAUUAUUCUGAAACCUUUGACAAAUCACCAUCUCCACCUUAAUUUCCUCUGAAAUGACCCUAACUUGCCUUAAGUAGGGACUGUUAGGAAGAAUGGCUAAAGUUAAUGGAGAGAAAAUUUGGGGUAGUUUAGAAAAUUUACUUAUUCAACAAAUAUUUAUUGAAUACCUACUGUGUUCCAGGUCUGUUCCAGACUCUGAAGAUCUAUCAGUGAACAAAAAGUCCCUGGCCUCAUGAAGCUGACAUCCUAGAGGGGAGACAAAUAACUGACAAGGACAUUUAUAGUAUAUCAGGUGGUGUUCACAAUUAUUAAUAUAAAGAACAAAAGCUAAGACAAUAGAGAAUUCUGGGGAAGAAUUAGUGGUGGUUUUAUUUGAUAUAAAGUGCUCAAGUAGGAUUAUCUGACAUUGUGAAUUUGACCAGAGACCCAACAGAGAUGAGGGAGUGAGCAUAUGGAUAUCUGAGGGAAGAGCAUUCUAGGCAAAGGGAACAGCAAGUGCUUCUGAGACAGGAGAAGGUAUGGUAUAU